Chenopodium quinoa (quinoa) is the source of this 454-nucleotide long non-coding RNA. RefSeq lists it as uncharacterized. The record is from RefSeq and is a predicted model, not a curated record. NCBI's taxonomy places the organism in Eukaryota, Viridiplantae, Streptophyta, Magnoliopsida, Caryophyllales, Amaranthaceae. The transcript has 3 exons.
AUAAGCUGUGGAUGGGAUAGCUUCAAAAAGGACUGCAAACAGCUGUUAUCAAACAAGGCUUGGCUUUUGGAAAAAGCUCAUGGCUUUAACUUUUUUCCCGGAACACAAAGUAUUGAGGUUUUGGCCAUAUUUAAACGAGGUUCUGGGUCGAAUGAUAAAAAAAAGGCAUCCAAAAAAAUAGAAGCCUAAGAAAUCAUCACAAGGAUAAUCAUAAUACUGUAUAUCUGCAUUUGGCUUUAGUUGUUGCGUCAAGGUCUUGGACUUACCCAAGAGUGAGCCGAUGUUGGACCUUGAUAAUGAAGGCAAGGGAGAAACCGCUGAAUAAAAAAGAGACGAAGCAUUGACUAAUGCCUCUAUGUUUGAAUUCGGGCGUGUAUGUUUAGCAACAUAGAAGCAGAGUAAAGCCAGAAAGGGAGGAAACUGUACAAGAAAUGUUGAAUGUGAGCAACUAUUG